UACGUAGGGUGCAAGCGUUGUCCGGAAUUAUUGGGCGUAAAGAGCUCGUAGGCGGUCUGUCGCGUCUGCUGUGAAAACUCAGGGCUUAACCCUGAGCUUGCAGUGGGUACGGGCAGACUAGAGUGCGGUAGGGGAGACUGGAAUUCCUGGUGUAGCGGUGAAAUGCGCAGAUAUCAGGAGGAACACCAGUGGCGAAGGCGGUGCUCUGGGCCGGAACUGACGCUGAGGAGCGAAAGCGUGGGGAGCAAACAGG
Molecule: ribosomal RNA, 253 nt
Filed under: uncultured bacterium
Lineage: Bacteria
Description: partial 16S ribosomal RNA
Rfam family: Bacterial small subunit ribosomal RNA
Source: RNAcentral